UACGUAGGGUCCAAGCGUUGUCCGGAAUUAUUGGGCGUAAAGAGCUCGUAGGCGGUGUGUCGCGUCGGAUGUGAAAGCCCGGGGCUUAACCCCGGGUCUGCAUUCGGUACGGGCAUGCUGGAGUUCGGUAGGGAGACUGGAAUUGCCUGGUGUAGCGGUGGAAAUGCGCAGAUAUCAGGAGGAACACCGGUGGCGAAGGCGGGUCUCUGGGCCGAUACUGACGCUGAGGAGCGAAAGCGUGGGGAGCGAACAGG
This 254-nucleotide ribosomal RNA is filed under the name uncultured bacterium. Its description in RNAcentral is "partial 16S ribosomal RNA". It matches the Rfam family "Bacterial small subunit ribosomal RNA", at positions 524 to 776 of the family's 1533-position model. The record is from RNAcentral.